RNAcentral lists this long non-coding RNA (3019 nucleotides) under Homo sapiens (human). Its description in RNAcentral is "HSALNT0408070". The stretch from base 3 to 137 matches the Rfam family "JPX transcript, XIST activator conserved region 1". Lineage: Eukaryota; Metazoa; Chordata; Mammalia; Primates; Hominidae. The record is from RNAcentral.
CCUAGGGCUAGUGGAAGACUUAAGAUGGCGGCGUUUGCACGGAGUGCAAUCACUGCGUCCUUACGGGGGUUGCAAGGCGUCCGAAGUAUGAGUCCACUAACAAAAGUCCAGAAACUCGCCAGUUAAUAGUAUUGUGUCUCUUCAAAAUAUCGGAGAAUAAUUUCUUUCUCGCUGAUCGCCUAACUUCUACUGACGAAGCUUGGAAGUUGCAGAAGGUUGGAGUGCAAUGGCGCGAUCUCGGCUGACUGCAACCUCCACCUCCUGGAUUCAAGCUAUUCUCCUGCCUCAGCCUGCCGAGUAGCUGGGAUUACAGGCAUGUGCCACCGCACCCAGCUAAUUUUGUAUUUUUUAGUAGAGAUGGGGUUUCUCCAUGUUGGUCAGGCUGGUCUUGAACUCCUGACCUCAGGUGAUCCGCCCACCUCAGCCUCCCAAAGUGCUGGGAUUACAGGCGUGAGCCACCGCGCCCGGCCAGAACAUUAGUUUUAAACUUCCUAACCCUUGGGAGAAGGCAAAACACUUGAUGAAAUCUACAUAAAGACUAAAACAUUUUACCAAUUUUGCAUUGUUUGUUUGAAAUUGCAUUGACGACUGAAAUACAAAAAAAAUUCUAAAACUUGUAUGGAACUACAAAAGACAUUAAAUAAUCAAAGUAAUCUUGAGCAACAAGGACACAGCUGGAGGCAUCACUCUACCUGAUUUUGUAAUCCAUUAUCAAAAAACUGUGGUACCAGCAUAAAAACAGAUUCACUGACCAGUGGAACAGGAAAGCCCAGACAUAACUCAUACAUUUCCAUCCAAUUGAUUUUUGACAAAAGUGGCACACAGAAUGGGGAGAGGACAAAUAAAUAAAUAAAUUGUUUUGAGAUAUCUGUAUAUCUAUAUGUGAAAUUGAACCAUUUUCUCAUAGCAUAUAGAAAAAUCAACUCAAAAUGGAUUAAAGCCUGAAAUGUUGCCUUUGAAACUGUAAAACUACUAGUAGAAAAUAUAGGGGAAAAGCUCUAUGAUGUUGUUCUGGGCAAUGAUUUCUUGGAUACAUCCUUAAAAGCAUGGGCAGCAAAAACAGCCAGACAACUAUCAGGGAACCUGCCCAGAUAGUCACAUAGGUUCUUUUCUAUUUUCCCUAAGCAUUGGCCGGGUUGAGAAAUAAAGGGACAGAGUACAAAAGAGAGAAAUUUUAAAGCUGGGCAUCCUGGGGAGACAUCACAUGUCGGUAGGUUCCGUGAUGCCCCCUGAGCCGUAAAACCAGUAAGUUUUUAUUAGGGAUUUUCAAAGGGGAGGGAGUAUACGAAUAGGAGGUGGGUCACAGAGAUCACGUGCUUCACAAGGUAAUAGAAUAUCACAAGGCAAAUGGAGGCAGGGCGAGAUCACAGGACCACAGGACUGGGUUGAAAUUAAAAUUGCUAAUGAAGUUUCGGGCACCAUCGUCAUUGAUAACAUCUUAUCAGGAGACAGGGUUUGAGAGCAACCUGUCUGACCAAAAUUUAUUAGGUGGGAAUUUCCUCGUCCUAAUAAGCCUGGGAGCGCUAUGGGAGACUGGGGCUUAUUUCAUCCCUACAGUCUCGACCAUAGAAGACAGCUACACCCAAGGGGGCCAUUUUAGAGGCCCACCCUCAGGGGCACAUUCUCUUUCUCAGGGAUGUUCCUUGCUGAGAAAAAGAAUUCGGCGAUAUUUCUCCCAUUUGCUUUUGAAAGAAGAGAAAUAUGGCUCUGUUCCGCCUGGCUCACCGGCGGUCAGAGUUUAAGGUUAUCUCUCUUAUUCCCUGAACAUUGCUGUUAUCCUGUUCUUUUUUCAAGGUGCCUAGAUUUCAUAUUGUUUAAACACACAUGCUCUACAAUUUCUGCACUUAACACAAUUAUCACAGGGUCCUGAGGCGACAUACGUCCUCCUCGGCUUACGAGAUGACAGGAUUAAGAGAUUAAAACAGGCAUAGGAAAUCACAAGGGUAUUGAUUGGGGAAGUGAUAAGUGUCCAUGAAAUCUUCACAAUUUAUGUUUAGAGAUUGCAGUAAAGACAGGCAUAAGAAAUUAUAAAAGUAUUAAUUUGGGGAACUAAUAAAUGUCCAUGAAAUCUUCACGAUCCACGUUCUUCCGCCAUGGCUUCAGCCAGUCCCUCCGUUUGGGGUCCCUGACUUCCCGCAACAGACAACUUGAGUUGCAUCAAACUAAAAAGCAUCUGCACUGCAAAGGGUACAGUUAACAGAAUGAAGACACGGGUUUUGAGAAACCAUUUUCAAAUCAUAUAUCUGAUAAGGGGCUAAUAUCCAAAAUGUAUUAAGAAACCCAAGCCCAAUAGCAAGAAAACAACUGUCUUUAAAAGGGGGAAAAGGACCUCAACUUAAAUUUUUCAGAGGAAGACAUGAGUGGCCAAUUGAUUGAUACAUGAAAAAAAUGCUCAACAUCUCUAAUCAUUAGUGAGUUGCAAAUCAAAACUGCAAGAUAUUACCUUACACCUUUUAGAAUGGCUAUUAUUAAAAGGAUGAAAGACAGGUGCUGGCAAGGAUGUGGAUAAAAGGAAGUCCCAACAUUCUGUUAGUGGGAAUAUAAAUUAGUAUAGCCAAUUUAGGAAACUAUAUGGUGGUUCCUUAAGAAACUAAAAGUACAAUUACUAUAUGAUCUAGCAAUCUCUACUUAGGUAUAUAUCCAAAGGAAUUGAAGCAGUAUGUUGAGAUCUUGCACUCCCUUAUUUUGAAAUUAUUUACAAAGCUAAUAAAUGGAAAAGACUUAAGUUUUCAUAACAGAUGAAUGGACAUAGAAGAUGUGUUGUAUAUACAUAUUGGAAUAUUUUUUAUCCUUGGAAAAGAAGGAAAAUUGUCAUUUGUGACAACAUGGAUGAAUCUGUAGUAUACUAUGCUAAGUGUUGUAAGACAGGCACAGAGAGGCAAAUACUACAUUAUAUUUGUAUGUGGAAUCUAAGAAAGGCUAACUCAUACAAGUAGAAAGUUGGAUGUUAUGGUUUCCAGGAUGUGGGUGUUGGAGAGAUGGGCAAAGGCAAGACGUUGGUCAAAGAGUACCAAUUUUC